AGUGCAGCUUAGCUUCCUGGAUUCAGCGGCGGACGGGUGCUGUAAUUGCCUAGGAAUCUGCCUGGUAGUGGGGGAUAACGUCCGGAAACGGGCGCUAAUACCGCAUACGUCCUGAGGGAGAAAGUGGGGGAUCUUCGGACCUCACGCUAUCAGAUGAGCCUAGGUCGGAUUAGCUAGUUGGUGGGGUAAAGGCCUACCAAGGCGACGAUCCGUAACUGGUCUGAGAGGAUGAUCAGUCACACUGGAACUGAGACACGGUCCAGACUCCUACGGGAGGCAGCAGUGGGGAAUAUUGGACAAUGGGCGAAAGCCUGAUCCAGCCAUGCCGCGUGUGUGAAGAAGGUCUUCGGAUUGUAAAGCACUUUAAGUUGGGAGGAAGGGCAGUAAGUUAAUACCUUGCUGUUUUGACGUUACCAACAGAAUAAGCACCGGCUAACUUCGUGCCAGCAGCCGCGGUAAUACGAAGGGUGCAAGCGUUAAUCGGAAUUACUGGGCGUAAAGCGCGCGUAGGUGGUUCAGCAAGUUGGAUGUGAAAUCCCCGGGCUCAACCUGGGAACUGCAUCCAAAACUACUGAGCUAGAGUACGGUAGAGGGUGGUGGAAUUUCCUGUGUAGCGGUGAAAUGCGUAGAUAUAGGAAGGAACACCAGUGGCGAAGGCGACCACCUGGACUGAUACUGACACUGAGGUGCGAAAGCGUGGGGAGCAAACAGGAUUAGAUACCCUGGUAGUCCACGCCGUAACGAUGUCGACUAGCCGUUGGGAUCCUUGAGAUCUUAGUGGCGCAGCUAACGCGAUAAGUCGACCGCCUGGGGAGUACGGGCCGCAAGGGUUAAAACUCAAUGAAUUUGA
This 850-nucleotide ribosomal RNA is filed under the name Pseudomonas aeruginosa. RNAcentral's name for it is "bacterial SSU rRNA". It matches the Rfam family "Bacterial small subunit ribosomal RNA", at positions 65 to 913 of the family's 1533-position model. The record is from RNAcentral. Lineage: Bacteria; Pseudomonadati; Pseudomonadota; Gammaproteobacteria; Pseudomonadales; Pseudomonadaceae.